UCUGUAGUGGCAGAAUCAAGUGCACUGAAUUUAAGAUUCAGAUAUGAAAUAUCUAUUUCCUAUAGAA
Molecule: transfer RNA, 67 nt
Filed under: Bothriometopus macrocnemis
Lineage: Eukaryota; Metazoa; Arthropoda; Insecta; Psocodea; Philopteridae
Description: tRNA-Leu
Source: RNAcentral